CUUCUCUCAAAGAUUAGCCAUGCAUGUCUAAGUAUAAGCAACUGUACUGUGAAACUGCGAAUGGCUCAUUAAAUCAGUUAUCGUUUAUUUGAUAGUACCUUACUACAUGGAUACCUGUGGUAAUUCUAGAGCUAAUACAUGCUAAAAACCCCGACUUCAGGAAGGGGUGUAUUUAUUAGAUAAAAAACCAACGCCCUUCGGGGCUCCUUGGUGAAUCAUAAUAACUUAACGAAUCGCAUGGCCUUGCGCCGGCGAUGGUUCAUUCAAAUUUCUGCCCUAUCAACUUUCGAUGGUAGGAUAGUGGCCUACCAUGGUGGCAACGGGUAACGGGGAAUUAGGGUUCGAUUCCGGAGAGGGAGCCUGAGAAACGGCUACCACAUCCAAGGAAGGCAGCAGGCGCGCAAAUUACCCAAUCCCGAUACGGGGAGGUAGUGACAAUAAAUACUGAUACGGGGCUCUUUUGGGUCUCGUAAUUGGAAUGAGAACAAUUUAAAUCCCUUAACGAGGAACAAUUGGAGGGCAAGUCUGGUGCCAGCAGCCGCGGUAAUUCCAGCUCCAAUAGCGUAUAUUAAAGUUGUUGCAGUUAAAAAGCUCGUAGUUGAACCUUGGGUCUGGCUGGCCGGUCCGCCUCACCGCGAGUACUGGUCCGGCUGGACCUUUCCUUCUGGGGAACCUCAUGGCCUUCACUGGCUGUGGGGGGAACCAGGACUUUUACUGUGAAAAAAUUAGAGUGUUCAAAGCAGGCCUUUGCUCGAAUACAUUAGCAUGGAAUAAUAGAAUAGGACGUGUGGUUCUAUUUUGUUGGUUUCUAGGACCGCCGUAAUGAUUAAUAGGGAUAGUCGGGGGCGUCAGUAUUCAGCUGUCAGAGGUGAAAUUCUUGGAUUUGCUGAAGACUAACUACUGCGAAAGCAUUCGCCAAGGAUGUUUUCAUUAAUCAGGGAACGAAAGUUAGGGGAUCGAAGACGAUCAGAUACCGUCGUAGUCUUAACCAUAAACUAUGCCGACUAGGGAUCGGACGGGAUUCUAUAAUGACCCGUUCGGCACCUUACGAGAAAUCAAAGUAUUUGGGUCUGUAGUACGAUGACGAACG
RNAcentral lists this ribosomal RNA (1090 nucleotides) under Penicillium commune. Its description in RNAcentral is "SSU rRNA". It matches the Rfam family "Eukaryotic small subunit ribosomal RNA", at positions 31 to 1116 of the family's 1831-position model. Lineage: Eukaryota; Fungi; Ascomycota; Eurotiomycetes; Eurotiales; Aspergillaceae. The record is from RNAcentral.